Molecule: long non-coding RNA, 3150 nt
Organism: Pistacia vera
Lineage: Eukaryota; Viridiplantae; Streptophyta; Magnoliopsida; Sapindales; Anacardiaceae
Exons: 3
Source: RefSeq, a predicted model, not a curated record
AUUCUCAAGUUGAAGAAGGUGCCAAGGUGGAGCUACCAUUCUGGCUUGCUCAGGAGUUAUAUUUGAGGCAAGCUGUAUCAAUAAAUGUUCCGGCUUGUUUCAACCAAAAUUAACUGCCAUAGUAGUUUCUAGUGUUAUUCUUGUUUCUGUGUAAAGGUAGUAAUACUAAGGAAUUCAUUAAAAACUGACUUGAAAGAAGAAUUGUUUUUUUUUUUUUUUUUAUGUGUGAAUGAUGUAGAAUGGGUGGAGAAACUUUUUGGUAGUGGCCUAUGGUCAUCAACGAGCAACCAGCUUUUGUGUUAUAUUAUGUUCUGAUACACGAUUUUUCCGCGUAUAAUAUUUCUUGGUCUUGCUUUCAUAUGUGGGUUAUUUGCAUUUACCAGUCCAGCUAGGUCAUAUUAUUUUGUCAGUCUUCAAAAAUUUGAUGUUGUUCUUAUUGUAUUUCUUUGAUCCCUCCUAACCCUUAGUGGCCAAACCUCCUCAGGAAUUAGGUGGUUUUAACCAAGUUCUAUGGUCGUGAUUUCUUGCAAAGUUGUCCUAUGUUCAAAUGAAUCCAUGAAGAAUGACGUAUUUAUUUAUGUGGUGAAUGUGAAUCUGAAGAUGUAAAUAUUUAUUUACUAGUCUAUUCUUCUUUGUUUCAUUUGAAUACCAAAACAAGGAGGGAAAUCCAAGCUGAUGCUGCAAAUGUGGAUCUGAGAUCUCGGUGUCCAUAUUUCUCCGAAUUUGGCUGUAAGAUAGCACCAUUGUGAGUUUAUGCUUCUAAAAAAUUUCUAUGCAUGCAUAUUUCAAUGCAGAUAAUAAGUCUUUCUGUGCCUUCUGUAAGUUUAUGCUUCUUGUCCCUUAAAUAGUAAAUUGCUAUCAUUAUAUUUGUUGUUUUCAUAAUGUCAUUAUGUGGCACGUUGUCAAUUUGGAAGAGAAAGCAAUGCCCUGAUAAUUUGAUGUUAUUACAAAUUUUCAUUGUUAUGUUUCACUGCUUUUUCACAAGAAAGUUGAUCUAUUUGAUGUAACCUCAAGUGUUUUCCUAGAUUCUGCAUCUUAUUCAAACUGAGAAGCAAAUUGAAAGUUUAGAGCUAAACCUGCAUUUUCUUGUUUAGGGAUGGAAUGAAGGAUGUGAUCAGUUCCUUGUCUCAGAAUAUCUCUCUAUGUUAGAGAUAAGUUUCGUUGGAAAGUUAAUAUUGAAAACAUUCGAAUGAAAAGAGAAAUGAAGAGGAUCACCUCUUCAUGUAUUAUCCUAAAUGUUGGGAAGCUUAUAUCACGUGUGUGAGCCUUGUACUGUGGUGAUGGAUACUUCUUUGUUCCUUAUCUCUAACAUAAAUAAUGCUUCUUGGUUACAUCUAAGUCAGGAAGAGCACACUUCAUAUAAAAGUCAGACAACAGUAUCCAAGGUGAAAUCCCUCCAGGAUUUGGCCGUCUGUUCAGGUUGGAAUUUUUAAAUCUUUCUUCUAACUCCCUGGUGGGGAAAUUCCGGCUAACUUGUCCCAUUUCUCCAGCCGGGAAAUCUUACAUUUAGGAUUUAACAAGCUAGUAGGAAAAUUCCUCCUAAAUAUGUCUCCUUGUUGAACCUGAAAAGUAUAAGCCUACGUGGAAACAAUUUAACAGGAGGGGUCCCACUUUUUCUCGCGAAUCUUAGCUCCCUGUAAACUUUAUCUUUAGCUCACAAUGCUUUAAGAGGAACUAUUCCAGAUUCAAUGGAUCAAUUGACGAGGUUAACAUUUCUGUGACUUGGCACUAACAAUCUCUCAGGUUCAAUCCCUCCUUUCAUAUACAAUCUACAUAACAUUAAAUUAAAUUAAUAUUGUCUAAAAACUCUUGGGACGAUGGUUCUGAUUUUUUUUAGUUUACAUUUCUUCUUGCUGCUUAGGAAUAGGGAGUUCCAGGUUGGAAUUGGAUCUAAUUCUCACUUAGAGCUUAGAUCUUGGGUUGGAUGUUUCACUCAAUGUGUUUAUAUUCUUGCAAUUGCCAUAGUAGUUUCUGGUGUUAUUCUUGUUUCUGUGUAAAGGUAGUAAUACUAAGGAAUUCAUUAAAAACCGACUUGCAAGCAGAAUUUGUUUUUUGCUUUAUGUGUGAAUGAUGUAGAAUGGGUGGAGAAACUUUUUGGCAGGAAGUGGCCUUUGGUCAUCAAAGAGCAAUCAGCUUCAUGGCCGAGAGUAUAGCAUUGAGAAAUAUCUGUCACAGAAAUCUUGUUAGAGUCAUAACUUCUUGUUCAAGUAAUGAUUACCAAAAUGACUUCAGAGCUAUAGUUUAUGAACACAUGCCAAAUGGGAGUCUUCAAGAAUGGUUGCACCCAGCUCCAAAUAAAGAAGAAAAGCAACAUGAAAUUCAAAAUCUUACCCUUCUGCAAAGAAUAAACAUGGCACUUGAUGCGGCAUCUGCACUAAAUUAUCUCCAUCACCACUGCCAAGAGCCAGUCAUCCAUUGCUACUUAGAGCCAAGCAAUAUUCUUCUAGACAACAACAUGACCGCUCAUGUUGGGGAUUUCGGGCUAGCAAGGUUUCUUCAAGAAGUGUCAAAUCCAAAUCACAGCAGCUCUUCUGGAGUAAGAGGAACAAUUGGUUGUGCAGCCGCAGGGACCGCAAGACUUUUGAUCUUCUGUUACAUUAAUAUUAACUCAUGCCUACUACAAAAUUUGAACAGGUAAUUUACUUUUCAAAAGAUUAUAUACUUUCUAUUGUUAUUCUUGUUGGGUUUCAGGGUAUGGUCUUGGAAGUAAGGUGUCAACAAAUGGGAAUGUCUCCAGUUUUGGGAUCCUGUUGUUAAAGAUGGUAACAUGGAAAAAACCUACAGACCUUAUGUUUGAGGGAGGCGUUAAUGUUCAUAACUUUUGCUUGACCGUUUGAUGGGCAUUGUGGAUCCAAUUUUUCUAAAAGAUGAUAAAGAGUUGUCUUUCUACAAACCGUAGCAAGAGAGAAACAAAUAUCAACAGCAGAAAAGAAUGUCUUAAUUUUAUGGUAAGGAUUGGAGUGGCAUGUUCGAUGGAGUCACCACAAGACUGGAUGAACAUAACGGAUGUUGUCCAUGACUUGCUAUCAGCCAGGAACAUCCUUCUGGAACCUAAGGCAAGGAGGGCUAUUAAGAAAAUAUAAUCUUGAAGCGAAAGCAGGGUGAAAGAGCAGAGAACCGGUAAAAAAAAAAAAAAAAAAAAAAAAGUUU